This 2688-nucleotide long non-coding RNA is filed under the name Marmota monax (woodchuck). Lineage: Eukaryota; Metazoa; Chordata; Mammalia; Rodentia; Sciuridae. The record is from RNAcentral.
GUGUUUUUGUAGAAAAAUGAGCAGAAAGCAAAAUAUUAAAAUGGGUAUAAGCAAUUGCAGCAAUAUUUUGCCAAGGACUCACCUUUUUGAAUAUAUUGUUCCACAAAAAUCUCUUAUGAAAUAAACAGUCCCAUCUGUUGCCCAGGUGAUUCAAAGAUCCAUAUUAAAUUGUUUAUCCAGAUCAGAGAGCCUCUUUGUCUAGGUGGGGAAAAAAAAAGAAAAAAAAGAAAGCUGAAAGACAGAGAGUCCUAUGGGGCUGUCUUGUGGCAUCAUGUGUGUUUUUUUUUCCUUUCAGUGUAGAAGGGCAAACAGCUGACCCUCUGAGUAUGGGGGUGUUUCAUUGCUGGCUUCCUCAUAUCUCCCUGUGCCAAAGUCCUCCUAUAGCGGCUUCAUGAAAGAACUCUCAGCUGCCUACAGAAGCCUACAUGGGACAAAUCUACCUUAAUGCAGUAUCUUUCUCAUAGAAGAUGCCUGGCAAAUAUUUAUUGAAUUAAUCUGAUGUGAUAACGGAGCCACUGGAAGAAAGAACUGCUGCUGCUGACAGGUGGCAAUUCCCUGCCUUGUGUCUUUUUUCUUUGGUACCAGGGUGCUUUCCCACUGAGCUACAGCCCCAGUCCUAUUUAUUUAUUUAUUUUGAAACAAGUUCUCAGUAAUUGUUGAGGGUCUCACCAAGUUGCUGAGACUGGCCUCCAACUGGCGAUCCUCCUGCCUCAGCCUUCUCCGUUGCUGGGAUUAUAGUUAUGUACUACUACACUUUGCUGCCUUAUGUCUUUCCAUGGAGCCCAAGUCUCCUCUGUAAAGAGCUGCCGGAUAAAGGCAGGUUUUUUUCUGUAUGCAGGCAGCUUUACCCUGCAUACAUUUGGGAGAUAUCUUGAUGCUCUUUUAAGGUGUAGUGUUUUUCAUAAUAGAGACAAGUGUCCAUAAAUGAACUUGACUACAGUCCCAUCAUUCCACACCCUUGACUGGCCCUUGAAUGCUUGGAGGUAAGUGGGACUUAACUGGGCAGGUUUAAAUCUCAUCCUCCACCCUACCCUUUCUUUGCUUUGCUUUGCUUCUUUGGAGUUGGUGUCUCCCUUACCGACGGGUGCUGUGCUCUCUCAAGCUAGUCCUCUUUCCCCAUCAAAAUCUAUAUUGGCCCAGUGACUCAGGAUGAUGAGAAGGAGGAUUUCAAGUUCAAGGCCAGCCUCAGCAAUUUAGCAAGGCUCUAAGCAACUUAGCAAGACCCUGUCUCAAAAUUAAAAACUAAAAAAGGGCUGGGAUGUGGCUCAGUGGCUAAGCACUGCUGGGUUAAAUCCCUGGUAGCAAAAAAAAAAAAAAGAUUUGAAAAUCACUCAUCCUGGGAAUUUUGGGUUUAAAUUCUCCCAUGAGUUUUUGUGUUUUAGGAAAACUCAAUAUGCAAAGUUUCAGGUGGUGGAGUUUGCUUUUUGGUGGUAGUGGUGGUAUUGGUAGUCUUGAGGGGUGACUUCCUGGUCCCUUUGUUACCUGACUGGAGUCUCCUUCUAUUGGCUUAUCCUGCUCUAUGGCAGCCUGCCUCUGGCACAGACUUGUGGGCUUGGGGUAUAGAUGACCCUUGGAUGUACUACUUAAAAUACCAGCGGUGCAAACCUCAAUUCUGCCACCACCAUUUUGAGGUCUCCAAAGAAUUUUGUUUCACAAUUUUCUUUUGUUUUGUUUUCCAUAAGUUAACCAAGGCACCUGGCAGCUGUGAUGCAGAGUCAGCAGGAACGGCUCUAUUUUCCCUUUACUGCCUGGCAACGCCUCAAAUAAGUUCCCCCAACUGUGCUUUUGGAAAUUGUCCCAAACAAAAGGAGGCUGAAGAGAGAGCAUGAGUCUUAAAAUUGGAUGAAAUUCUACACCAUGAAGCUUGAAAAAAUACUGUUCCAGUGAAAAUACUAUGAGACCAGAAGACAUUUUUGUAUGUGGGUCACUUUUAUACCCCCAAAAUAGAAUGUGAUAAAUAACUACUUGUACAACUAUGCCACACAUUAAAACAAAACAAAACAGAUCACAAAACAAUACAUGGAUUGACCCUACUGUGGUAAAAUACAGGAUAUAUAAAUAUACAGAGACUUUUUUUUUUGGUUUCUAUGUGCCAGGCACUUAAGAGCUGUAGGUAUAAUAUUUACAUAUAAUCAAUAAAAACCUGGAGAGGAAAUUCUUAUUAUUCCCAUUUUUACAGGGGACAAAACUGUAGAGUAUGUGAGUUACACAACUCAAACAAAGUUACAAUGACAAUAUGUGAGAAAAGUCCAUGAUAAUUAGAAUUUUUCGAAACAUGACUAUAUCUAUCUGCAAACAUAAGCCUUGGGUGAUAACCUAUCAUUUUAGCUGAUGAAGAAUAUUGGGCCAUUUUUGUUUUCUUCAGUUGAUCAUGUGUGUUUUCUAAUUUAUUUCCAAUGAAUAUUUUUAUUAACAGAAAGUUGUGUGUGUGUGUGUUGCUGUGGAUUGAACUAAGGUGUGUUUCACCACUGGGAAACAUCUUCAGUCCCCUUUAAAUUUUAUUUUGAGACAGGAUCUCAGGUCCUUAAGUUGUUGAGGCUAGCCUCACACUAUCAAUCCUGCCUCAGCCUCUAGAAUGAGAGUUGACAGUACAGGCAUGUAAUCUGUGUCCAGGUACAGAAAGUUAUUUUUAAAUGAGAAAAUUAUACUAAACAGUUGAUAGAAGUCAUAUAUGUCUAACUAUUAAAG